Molecule: unclassified non-coding RNA, 404 nt
Filed under: fungal sp.
Lineage: Eukaryota; Fungi
Description: partial internal transcribed spacer region
Rfam family: Eukaryotic small subunit ribosomal RNA (bases 1-46)
Source: RNAcentral
AAGUCGUAACAAGGUUUCCGUAGGUGAACCUGCGGAAGGAUCAUUAAACGUUCCAACGUAUAUACAAACCGCGAACCGUUUUAACCCACCACACUGAAGAUUGUAAAGGAGGAGGGCACCGAGGGUGUCGUUGGGGGGACCGGACUUAGUAAGCCGAUGGAUCCUAGUGUGGAUUCGUAGGGCUGAACGCGUCUGGACUCCUUAAGCUCUUCUCUUGUCCGCAAGGGAGUCUUGGUGUGGCGACGUCAUCUCCAAGGUCCAUUACUCUUCACGGAGUGUGGCCUUGAUGUUUAACUUAUUAACCCUUUUGAACUAACUUUGAUACCAUUAAUGAGUUCGAGCUUAACCACUCGAGCGAUUUAAUAAAUAACGCACAAUUCUUAGCAACGGAUAUCUCGGCUCUC